CUACAAUGAAGAGAUUCUGAACUCUCUCUUUCUGACGCUUUAAUGGAGAAACUAAAAAGGAUCUGAGUAGC
This is a small nucleolar RNA of Ahaetulla prasina, 71 nucleotides long. RefSeq annotates it as small nucleolar RNA SNORD26. The record is from RefSeq and is a predicted model, not a curated record. The transcript has a single exon. Lineage: Eukaryota; Metazoa; Chordata; Lepidosauria; Squamata; Colubridae.